AACGAACGCUGGCGGCAUGCCUAACACAUGCAAGUCGAACGAGACCUUCGGGUCUAGCGGCGCACGGGUGCGUAACGCGUGGGAAUCUGCCCUUGGGUUCGGAAUAACAGUUGGAAACGACUGCUAAUACCGGAUGAUGACGUAAGUCCAAAGAUUUAUCGCCCAAGGAUGAGCCCGCGUAGGAUUAGCUAGUUGGUGAGGUAAAGGCUCACCAAGGCGACGAUCCUUAGCUGGUCUGAGAGGAUGAUCAGCCACACUGGGACUGAGACACGGCCCAGACUCCUACGGGAGGCAGCAGUGGGGAAUAUUGGACAAUGGGCGAAAGCCUGAUCCAGCAAUGCCGCGUGAGUGAUGAAGGCCUUAGGGUUGCAAAGCUCUUUUACCCGGGAUGAUAAUGACAGUACCGGGAGAAUAAGCGCCGGCUAACUCCGUG
Molecule: ribosomal RNA, 433 nt
Filed under: uncultured bacterium
Lineage: Bacteria
Description: partial 16S ribosomal RNA
Rfam family: Bacterial small subunit ribosomal RNA
Source: RNAcentral